Molecule: ribosomal RNA, 253 nt
Filed under: uncultured bacterium
Lineage: Bacteria
Description: partial 16S ribosomal RNA
Rfam family: Bacterial small subunit ribosomal RNA
Source: RNAcentral
UACGAAGGGUGCUAGCGUUGCUCGGAAUUACUGGGCGUAAAGCGCGCGCAGGUGGUCUGUUAAGUUGGGGGUGAAAGCCCGGAGCUCAACUCCGGAAUUGCCUUCAAAACUGGCAGGCUAGAGUUCGGAAGAGGAGAGUGGAAUUCCCAGUGUAGAGGUGAAAUUCGUAGAUAUUGGGAAGAACACCAGUGGUGAAGGCGGCUCUCUGGUCCGACACUGACACUGAGGCGCGAAAGCUUGGGGAGCAAACAGG